AUCCAGAUGUUGAGUGCCAAAUAGGACGAAAUUGGCAUCCUGGAU
Molecule: non-coding RNA, 45 nt
Filed under: Trichobilharzia regenti
Lineage: Eukaryota; Metazoa; Platyhelminthes; Trematoda; Strigeidida; Schistosomatidae
Source: RNAcentral